Molecule: long non-coding RNA, 698 nt
Organism: Vigna unguiculata (cowpea)
Lineage: Eukaryota; Viridiplantae; Streptophyta; Magnoliopsida; Fabales; Fabaceae
Source: RefSeq, a predicted model, not a curated record
UCUUCUCCAAGGCAAUCACUUUUCUCGCUUUUUUUCUUCUUCUUUCUUCUUUUUCAUAUCAAGUUAGGUUUUCGUUUUUUUUUUUUAAUUUCCGGUUUAUUGUUGUUGAACGUUGACAGUGGGUUUUCUUCUCCCAAGCAAUCAACUUCGUCGAGGUUGACAGAAGUUUUGGUUGGUAUUUAAUUUUUGCAAGGCAAUCGAUAGGAUCUUCUUCUUCAAGGCAAUCAACUUCGUCGAGCCGUUUGAAAUGCUGGGGAGAUGGUGUUUGUUGUUAAAAUAACACAUAGAAGGAUUUUUCAUGUUUUGCAGCUUCUUGGACUGAUAUCAUUUGUUUAAAUCUUGAUGAAAUAAUUGUGGGUGAGGCUGAUGUUGUUGAUUGUGGCCAACAUGAUUUUGAUCACUACAACAAUUAUCAUUGUUUCCCACACUAAAUCUCAAUCCAUGUAGUUCAAUUUUUAAAUUUUUUUUGGCUAUCGUGUUACUUUUUUCCUAAAAAUGGCAUUAUAUGAUUUAUGGUUUGUAAUGCUUCUUUAGUGUUUAUAGUCACUUAAGUGUUUGUGUUCAUUGGUUGUUGCAACCGAUAGUUCUAGGAGUUGAAUUUACCUUCGAUUGAUUGAAUUUGGUACCUAAACGGUUAAAGGCAGUUGAAGACAUUUUAGAUUGUGGUUUGAGUAACAAAGGUGUAUGAGAUAAUGCUA